RNAcentral lists this ribosomal RNA (538 nucleotides) under Babina adenopleura (olive frog). RNAcentral describes it as "partial 16S ribosomal RNA". It matches the Rfam family "Bacterial large subunit ribosomal RNA", at positions 1831 to 2597 of the family's 2925-position model. The record is from RNAcentral. Lineage: Eukaryota; Metazoa; Chordata; Amphibia; Anura; Ranidae.
CGCUCUUGCCAACUAUAAGAGGUCCGCCUGCCCAGUGUCAUUCGGCGGCCGCGUACCCUACCGUGCGAGGUAGCUCCUACACUUGUUCUCUAUAUGGGACUCGUAUCCCGGCACCACGAGGGCUAUACUGUCUCCUUUCUCCCUCGUGAAACUUUCCCCCCGUGCAGCAGCGGGGAUUAUUAUAUAAGACGAGAAGACCCCAUGGAGCUUUAAACUCAUCACCCACUUCCUCACUUCUAUGCCCCACCCAUAUAAGGAACCUGUGUGAUAGUUUUGGGUUGGGGGGACCACGGAGUACAAUUUAACCUCCACGACAAAUGGGCUAUGCCCUUAUCUACGAACUACAACUCUAAGAAUCACAAGCUGAUGUUUAAUGACCCGAUAAUUCGAUCAACGAACCAAGUUACCCUGGGGAUAACAGCGCAAUCUACUUUGAGAGCGCCUAUCGACAAGUAGGUUUACGACCUCGAUGUUGGAUCAGGGUAUCCUAGGGGUGCAGCCGCUCCUAAUGGUUCGUUUGUUCAACGAUUAAAACCCU